AGCGGCAAACGGCGUAGUAAUGCGUAGGUACGUACCCCUAGAUCGGGAAUAGCCAUGGGAAACCGUGGGUAAUGCCCGAUAAUGUCUGUGGACCAAAGGUGUGAUUCCGUCUAGGGAGCGGCUUACGUGAUAUUAGCUUGUUGGUGGGGUAAUGGCCUACCAAGGCUACGAUGUCUAGGGGGUGUGAGAGCAUGGCCCCCACGACCGGAACUGAGACACUGUCCGGACACCUACGGGUGGCUGCAGUCGAGAAUCUUCCGCAAUGGACGAAAGUCUGACGGAGCGACGCCGCGUGCGGGAUGAAGGCCCUUGGGUUGUAAACCGCUGUCAGAGGGGAUGAAAUCAUGGUUGGCUAUCCUUCCAUGUUGACAGAGCCUCAGAGGAAGCACGGGCUAAGUACGUGCCAGCAGCCGCGGUAACACGUACUGUGCGAACGU
This 437-nucleotide ribosomal RNA is filed under the name uncultured bacterium. Its description in RNAcentral is "bacterial SSU rRNA". It matches the Rfam family "Bacterial small subunit ribosomal RNA", at positions 94 to 541 of the family's 1533-position model. The record is from RNAcentral.